AAAUUGAGCAAAGCAGGUAUUGAGAUGGCGCGACUGGCUGGGUUGAAGAGCUCGCGCUCGAAUAAGACCCUACCACCGCUUUUUGAGGUUCGCUCCUCGAGAGUCGCCCAAUUGUUUUCCUCUCGCCGAUUGGGGUCAAGUAGAGCUAUUGGUCUUCAGCAGCUGGUGCAGUGCGCUUAUCGGGGAGAGAAGUUGGUUACUUCGGUGGGCUUGGUUGCAGGGCCACUUCAAGGGCAAGCAGCAACGCUAUUGGACCACUCAAGCGAAAUCGACUCAUCAACUGUUUCGCCCUGCGCAUGCGCGCACGUUUGUGCCUGAGUGCGGAUUGGCUGCCCACGCGCCCAUGCAGGGGACGGAGCCCCCAGAGAGGGUUUUGUGUGCAAAUCAGGGGCUGGACACCCCCGCCUUCACACACAUGAGCUGAAUCCUCACGCAUGGCCGCUUAUAACUGCGGUCUUGAGCGGGGAGUGUUGUGCGCGCCGGGCCAAGUGGGGCUGCCCUCGAGAAGUGACCAAAGCAUCUAAGACACGGGCGCAUUAAACCUAAUGUGGGCAGCGCAUACAGUGAUGGAUGGGAAUGCACGAGGCGCCACAAUGCGAGUAGGACAUUAGGUGAGGGCCCACAACCCCUGGCCCUUGCCCUGGCCCAAAAGGGUGGUUCGGACUCUGGCCACAGCCGGCCCUAAUGUGCUGUAACAAACGC
RNAcentral lists this long non-coding RNA (702 nucleotides) under Chlamydomonas reinhardtii. RNAcentral's name for it is "long non-coding RNA (CREI_LNC000804)". Lineage: Eukaryota; Viridiplantae; Chlorophyta; Chlorophyceae; Chlamydomonadales; Chlamydomonadaceae. The record is from RNAcentral.